UUGACCUCAAAUCAGGUAGGACCACCCGCUGAACUUAAGCAUAUCAAUAAGCGGAGGAAAAGAAACUAACCAGGAUUCCCUUAGUAACUGCGAGUGAAGUGGGAAGAGCUCAAAUUUGUAAUCUGGUGGCCCUUGGCCAUCCGAGUUGUAAUCUAAAGAAGUGCUACCUGUGCUGGACCGUGUACAAGUCUUCUGGAAUGGAGCAUCGCAGAGGGUGAGAAUCCCGUCUUUGACAUGGACUGCCAGUGCCUAAUAGGUGCGCUCUCGAAGAGUCGAGUUGUUUGGGAAUGCAGCUCAAAAUGGGUGGUAAAUGCCAUCUAAAGCUAAAUAUUGGCGAGAGACCGAUAGCGAACAAGUACCGUGAGGGAAAGAUGAAAAGAACUUUGGAAAGAGAGUUAAACAGUACGUGAAAU
This 413-nucleotide ribosomal RNA is filed under the name uncultured Inocybe. RNAcentral's name for it is "eukaryotic LSU rRNA". It matches the Rfam family "Eukaryotic large subunit ribosomal RNA", at positions 1 to 405 of the family's 3401-position model. The record is from RNAcentral. Lineage: Eukaryota; Fungi; Basidiomycota; Agaricomycetes; Agaricales; Cortinariaceae.